GUGCUCUCUUUGGCAGCACAUAAACUAAAAUUGGAAUGAAAUAGAGAAGGUUAGCAUGGCCCCUGCCCAGAGUAAAUUUGUGAAAUGUUCCAUAUUUUG
Tupaia belangeri (northern tree shrew) is the source of this 99-nucleotide small nuclear RNA. The record is from Ensembl. NCBI's taxonomy places the organism in Eukaryota, Metazoa, Chordata, Mammalia, Scandentia, Tupaiidae.